GACGAACGCUGGCGGCGUGCUUAACACAUGCAAGUCGAACGCUGAAGCUCAGCUUUUGUUGGGUGGAUGAGUGGCGAACGGGUGAGUAACACGUGAGUAACCUUCCUCCUUCUUUGGGAUAACGCCCGGAAACGGUUGCUAAUACUGGAUAUUCACUGGUCUUCGCGUGGGUUUUGGUGGAAAGGGUUUUUCUGGUGGGGGCUGGGCUCACGGCCUAUCAGCUUGUUGGUGGGGUGAUGGCCUACCAAGGGUUUGACGGGUAGCCGGCGUGAGAGGGUGACCGGUCGCAUAGGGGCUGAGAUACGGCCCAGACUCGGACGGGAGGCAGAAGGGGGGAAGAUGGCAGGAAGGGUGCAAGACUGACGCAGCGCCGACGCGUGAGGGAUGGAGGCGUUAGGGUUGUGAACCUGUUUCGAUCAGGGUCAAGCAGGAACAAUGGUUGUGGUGAGGGUAGUGGGUAAAGAAGCGCCGGCUAACUACGUG
RNAcentral lists this ribosomal RNA (483 nucleotides) under uncultured bacterium. Its description in RNAcentral is "partial 16S ribosomal RNA". It matches the Rfam family "Bacterial small subunit ribosomal RNA", at positions 28 to 507 of the family's 1533-position model. The record is from RNAcentral.